UCGAACGGGAAACCUUUUAUUGAAGCUUCGGCGGAUUUAGAUUGUUUCUAGUGGCGGACGGGUGAGUAACGCGUGGGUAACCUGCCUUAUACAGGGGGAUAACAGUCAGAAAUGGCUGCUAAUACCGCAUAAGCGCACAGAGCUGCAUGGCUCCGUGUGAAAAACUCCGGUGGUAUAAGAUGGACCCGCGUUGGAUUAGCUUGUUGGCAGGGUAACGGCCUACCAAGGCGACGAUCCAUAGCCGGCCUGAGAGGGUGAACGGCCACAUUGGGACUGAGACACGGCCCAGACUCCUACGGGAGGCAGCAGUGGGGAAUAUUGCACAAUGGGGGAAACCCUGAUGCAGCGACGCCGCGUGAAGGAAGAAGUAUCUCGGUAUGUAAACUUCUAUCAGCAGGGAAGAAAAUGACGGUACCUGACUAAGAAGCCCCGGCUAACUACGUGCCAGCAGCCGCGGUAAUACGUAGGGGGCAAGCGUUAUCCGGAUUUACUGGGUGUAAAGGGAGCGUAGACGGAUGGACAAGUCUGAUGUGAAAGGCUGGGGCUCAACCCCGGGACUGCAUUGGAAACUGCCCGUCUUGAGUGCCGGAGAGGUAAGCGGAAUUCCUAGUGUAGCGGUGAAAUGCGUAGAUAUUAGGAGGAACACCAGUGGCGAAGGCGGCUUACUGGACGGUAACUGACGUUGAGGCUCGAAAGCGUAGGGAGCAAACAGG
Molecule: ribosomal RNA, 713 nt
Filed under: uncultured Lachnospiraceae bacterium
Lineage: Bacteria; Bacillati; Bacillota; Clostridia; Lachnospirales; Lachnospiraceae
Description: bacterial SSU rRNA
Rfam family: Bacterial small subunit ribosomal RNA
Source: RNAcentral